Molecule: ribosomal RNA, 511 nt
Filed under: uncultured Anaplasma sp.
Lineage: Bacteria; Pseudomonadati; Pseudomonadota; Alphaproteobacteria; Rickettsiales; Anaplasmataceae
Description: bacterial SSU rRNA
Rfam family: Bacterial small subunit ribosomal RNA
Source: RNAcentral
AAUUAGUGGCAGACGGGUGAGUAAUGCAUAGGAAUCUACCUAGUAGUAUAGGAUAGCCACUAGAAGUGGUGGGUAAUACUGUAUAAUCCCUGCGGGGGAAAGAUUUAUCGCUACAUGAUGAGCCUAUGUUAGAUUAGCUAGUUGGUGGGGUAAUGGCCUACCAAGGCAGUGAUCUAUAGCUGGUCUGAGAGGAUGAUCAGCCACACUGGAACUGAGACACGGUCCAGACUCCUACGGGAGGCAGCAGUGGGGAAUAUUGGACAAUGGGCGCAAGCCUGAUCCAGCUAUGCCGCGUGAGUGAGGAAGGCCUUAGGGUUGUAAAACUCUUUCAGUGGGGAAGAUAAUGACGGUACCCCCAUAAGAAGACCCGGCAAACUCCGUGCCAGCAGCCGCGGUAAUACGGAGGGGGCAAGCGUUGUUCGGAAUUAUUGGGCGUAAAGGGCAUGUAGGUGGUUUGGUUAGUUAAAGGUGAAAUGCCAGGGCUUAACCCUGGAGCUGCUUUUAAUACUGC